CGGGCCCCGCGCCCGGCCCGCCGCCCCCGCCCCCCUACGGGAGGCAGCAGUGGGGAAUAUUGGACAAUGGGCGCAAGCCUGAUCCAGCCAUGCCGCGUGUGUGAAGAAGGUCUUCGGAUUGUAAAGCACUUUAAGUUGGGAGGAAGGGCAGUAAGUUAAUACCUUGCUGUUUUGACGUUACCGACAGAAUAAGCUCCGGCUGCUG
Molecule: ribosomal RNA, 205 nt
Filed under: uncultured Gammaproteobacteria bacterium
Lineage: Bacteria; Pseudomonadati; Pseudomonadota; Gammaproteobacteria
Description: partial 16S ribosomal RNA
Rfam family: Bacterial small subunit ribosomal RNA
Source: RNAcentral